AGAGUUUGAUCCUGGCUCAGAAUGAACGCUGGCGGCGUGCUUAACACAUGCAAGUCGAACGAGAAAGGGAUUGCUUGCAAUCCCGAGUAGAGUGGCGCACGGGUGAGUAACACGUAGAUAAUCUGCCUUCAAGCCUGGGAUAACUAUUCGAAAGGGUAGCUAAUACCGGAUAAAGUCGAUUUACACAAGUAGAUUGAUGAAAGAUUGCCUCUUCUUGAAAGCAAUUGUUUGGAGAUGAGUUUGCGUACCAUUAGCUGGUUGGUGGGGUAAAGGCCUACCAAGGCAACGAUGGUUAGCUGGUCUGAGAGGAUGAUCAGCCACACUGGAACUGGAACACGGUCCAGACUCCUACGGGAGGCAGCAGUGAGGAAUUUUGCGCAAUGGGGGCAACCCUGACGCAGCAACGCCGCGUGAGUGAAGAAGGCCUUUGGGUCGUAAAGCUCUGUCAACAGGGAAGAAGUUACAAUUGUUUAACAGAUGGUUGUAUUGACGGUACCUGUGGAGGAAGCGCCGGCUAACUCCGUGCCAGCAGCCGCGGUAACACGGGGGGCGCAAGCGUUAUUCGGAAUUAUUGGGCGUAAAGGGCGCGCAGGCGGUCUUGUCCGUCAGGUGUGAAAGCUCGGGGCUCAACCCCGGAAGUGCACUUGAAACAGCAAGACUUGAAUACGGGAGAGGAAAGCGGAAUUCCUGGUGUAGAGGUGAAAUUCGUAGAUAUCAGGAGGAACACCGAUGGCGAAGGCAGCUUUCUGGACCGAUAUUGACGCUGAGGCGCGAAGGCGUGGGUAGCAAACGGGAUUAGAUACCCCGGUAGUCCACGCAGUAAACGUUGUACACUCGGUGUAGCGGGUAUUAAAACCUGCUGUGCCCAAGCUAACGCAUUAAGUGUACCGCCUGGGAAGUACGGUCGCAAGACUAAAACUCAAAGGAAUUGACGGGGGCCCG
RNAcentral lists this ribosomal RNA (942 nucleotides) under uncultured candidate division WWE3 bacterium. RNAcentral describes it as "bacterial SSU rRNA". It matches the Rfam family "Bacterial small subunit ribosomal RNA", at positions 8 to 923 of the family's 1533-position model. Lineage: Bacteria; candidate division WWE3. The record is from RNAcentral.